AUACCUUUCUCGGCCUUUUGGCUAAGAUCAAGUGUAGUAUCUGUUCUUAUCAGUUUAAUAUCUGAUAUGUGGUCCAUUGGAUCACACGAUAUUAAAUUACUUUUUUGAGGGGGAGGAGCCGCCACAAUAGCUUGCUAUUGGGCUUCUCAUGUGUCGCCAUUGCGUUGCACUAUUGCAUUGGCUAGGCGCACCCCAC
RNAcentral lists this small nuclear RNA (196 nucleotides) under Trifolium pratense (red clover). RNAcentral's name for it is "snRNA U2". It matches the Rfam family "U2 spliceosomal RNA". Rfam says of the family: U2 is a small nuclear RNA (snRNA) component of the spliceosome (involved in pre-mRNA splicing). Complementary binding between U2 snRNA (in an area lying towards the 5' end but 3' to hairpin I) and the branchpoint sequence (BPS) of the intron results the bulging out of an unpaired adenosine, on the BPS, which initiates a nucleophilic attack at the intronic 5' splice site, thus starting the first of two transesterification reactions that mediate splicing. Lineage: Eukaryota; Viridiplantae; Streptophyta; Magnoliopsida; Fabales; Fabaceae. The record is from RNAcentral.